AGUUAAUUAGCUUAAAAUAAAGCAUAUGUUUUGAAAACAUAAGAUUAGAAGUCUAGAAACUCUAUUAACUU
Molecule: transfer RNA, 71 nt
Filed under: Epacromius coerulipes
Lineage: Eukaryota; Metazoa; Arthropoda; Insecta; Orthoptera; Acrididae
Description: tRNA-Ser
Rfam family: tRNA
About the family: Transfer RNA (tRNA) molecules are approximately 80 nucleotides in length. Their secondary structure includes four short double-helical elements and three loops (D, anti-codon, and T loops). Further hydrogen bonds mediate the characteristic L-shaped molecular structure. tRNAs have two regions of fundamental functional importance: the anti-codon, which is responsible for specific mRNA codon recognition, and the 3' end, to which the tRNAs corresponding amino acid is attached (by aminoacyl-tRNA synthetases). tRNAs cope with the degeneracy of the genetic code in two manners: having more than one tRNA (with a specific anti-codon) for a particular amino acid; and 'wobble' base-pairing, i.e. permitting non-standard base-pairing at the 3rd anti-codon position.
Source: RNAcentral